AUUGAACGCUGGCGGCAGGCCUAACACAUGCAAGUCGAACGGUAACAGGAAGCUGCUUGCUGCUUCGCUGACGAGUGGCGGACGGGAGAGGAAUGUCUGGGAAGCUGCCUGAUGGAGGGGGAUAACUACUGGAAACGGUAGCUAAGACCGCAUAAUGUCGCAAGACCAAAGAGGGGGACCUUCGGGCCUCUGGCCAUCGGAUGUGCCCAGAUGGGAUUGGCUUGUUGGUGGGGUAACGGCUCACCAAGGCGACGAUCCCUAGCUGGUCUGAGAGGAUGACCAGCCACACUGGCACUGAGACACGGUCCCGACUCCUACGGGAGGGAGCAGUGGGGAAUAUUGCACAAUGGGCGCAAGCCUGAUGCAGCCAUGCCGCGUGUAUGAAGAAGGCCUUCGGGUUGUAAAGUUCUUUCAGCGGGGAGGAAGGGAGUAACGUUAAUACCUUUGCUCAUUGACGUUACCCGCAGAAGAAGCACCGGCUAACUACGUG
Molecule: ribosomal RNA, 490 nt
Filed under: uncultured bacterium
Lineage: Bacteria
Description: partial 16S ribosomal RNA
Rfam family: Bacterial small subunit ribosomal RNA
Source: RNAcentral